UCCUGAUGAACAUUUUAGAGCUAAAGCCUUGAAUAAACUUAAAAUUAUAUUAUUAGAUCCCUGAUGUCUUUUCCCUAAAGUGAACCAGAUGCAUGUGACUGGUGCUUACAGAACUGUUGAAACAGGAGGAGCCAUCUAUUGAUGAGCAUAACAUGCAGGAAGAAAAACAGGAAGCUGCUUGUAAUUAUGAACAUGAUUCCAGUGAUGAUUGAGUUAGUAGCCUCCACAGGCUCCAACCAAGAAGAUGCCGUCUGCAAUGCCUGUGUCCCAUAUUCGUGUGCCUGGGUUCAAGCCCUACCUCUCCUGUCCAGGGAGGUUGAAGUCAGUGGAUGCGUGCCCAGUCUCCCCGGCUGCUGGGGGGACAGUUCUGAAACAUGGAAGUCGUGGUUUCUUCACAAGUCCCUAGGGGAAUAAAGCACUAAUCGUCCUCAUUGCUAACGAGCCCUCUGCACGUGCUCUUUACCAGCUUUCGCCUUUCCCUGCUGCUUGCUUCCCGCUUCCUCACCCUUUCUUUCCUGAGACUUUUCCCGAAAUAAAUGACCUGUGCCCGAGCCCUUGUCUCA
This 563-nucleotide long non-coding RNA is filed under the name Oryctolagus cuniculus (rabbit). Its description in RNAcentral is "lncRNA (ENSOCUG00000036027.1)". Lineage: Eukaryota; Metazoa; Chordata; Mammalia; Lagomorpha; Leporidae. The record is from RNAcentral.